Molecule: long non-coding RNA, 2461 nt
Organism: Pogoniulus pusillus (Red-fronted tinkerbird)
Lineage: Eukaryota; Metazoa; Chordata; Aves; Piciformes; Lybiidae
Exons: 4
Source: RefSeq, a predicted model, not a curated record
AGAUAAUGCAAGCACCUUUUUUUGCUUGUAACGCUGACAAUACAAUAAACCAGUAGCAAUGCAGUGCUUUCUGUUCAUCUUGAGGGAGGGAAGCAUUCUUUUUACUACAAGAUGAUAUUAAAAGACAUUCCUACAAAGGUUCAGCCUCUGUAAAACAGUAAUUUUUCAGCAGCUUGAAAUGGUUGGCUGGAGCACGCAUCAAUUUGUUUGCUAUAGCUAAGAUCUAUUUUAUCAAUACCUUUCCUCUAUGAUUUACAUUUUUCUAAAUGUCACUGUUUCUGUGUGAGAAACGAAGUGUGGACCAAUUAACUGUUGAUUCUUUCUGCCAAGAAUAAAUGUUGUGAUCUAGCAUAUAUGCAAGAUGGAGUAAAUAUUCUAUGAUGGGAGUGCAGAAAUUGCCAGGCUACUGCAAUCCAGAGAAUGAAGUGUUGUGGACUCUGAUUUUCUGGUGACCCUAGGGUAGAAACAAAGGAAUGUCAGAGAAGUUCACAGAGAUGCUGUUUCUGAAAUCUUAGCUUCUGACAAUCACAAAGAUUUGAGACAUUAUUCCUAAUUGAGAUUUUUUACUGAAUAUAUUUUAAAGAUAAAUUUGUUUUAUUCUUUCACCCUCUAUUUAAAAGGAUUUUUCACAUUUUUAUCUUCUAAAGGAAUUGUCAAUGAGAAACUAAAACUGCGUAGACUAUACAUUAAAAUCACUUUAGUUUUUAAGCUGUCACGAACUGUUUCAAAAAAUGCUAAGUUGCUAUUGUUUAAUGUCUGUCAUUUUAUAAUGCUUUAGAAGUUAUCUAUCCUGUAAAAUUAUUAACUGAUGCUAAAAUUGCCUUGUAAGUAUUAGGACAAUAGCAAUUUUGUAACAGCUGGGACACUGCCAAUGUAAGAUAAGUACAUUUUGCUCUGUAGAUUCAUAAAGUGCUUUGAAAUGGUUUGUAACUGAUGGAUGGAUGCAUUUUCUAAGUGUAGAAAGCAAUAUUUUGUAGAGGGAAAUGGCUUGAAAGCUGACACACAUGCAUGCAAAUGCCAUUCUCUUCAGUAAGUAAUUUGCUUUUUCUUUCAAAAGCAUAAAUGGCAUAGUUAGACACAUUAUUUUGUAUAUUGCACAUAACAAUACAAGAUGCACAAAAACAGCAAGUACAAAACAUUUCAUAUUGAUAGAGGAACCCAUGGCUGUAGUAUAUGAUUAGCAUAAAUGUAUACACACUGAAGAAAUGCCUUCAGGAUUAAAAAGUAAGGCUGAAAACAUGAAAAGUUCUUCCAACUUCAAGAAAUGGAAACACUUAGCAUACACUUUUUGUUUCUCAACCUUGUACAUUUCAAAAGUAUUUAAGCUAUGUAGGGUCUUAAUUAGGUCUUGCACUCUGUACUUCAUCUUACUCUGAUGGCUCUGUAUCAGGCUUUAACUUUGAAGGUAAAUCAGUUAAAUCCUUGAAGUGUUUGUGUGUCAAUGUUAAAACCCGGGAGGGUAGUGCUGUGAAGUACAUAUAGGCAGAGAGAGUACAGAUCAGAUUUAUUUUCUUGUAAUUUACGAACUAGUUAAUGCUAAACUGAUUUUUUGGUUGUCUAUCAUUGUAUCAUAUUUGUGAUUUACAUCAUUGUAUUAUUUAGGUUCUGUAUUGUAAAACCAGGACUGUUGAUGAAAAGCUUUGGCUAGAUUCUGUAGCAAUCUUUCUUAAGAUGGUGCUUCAGGUCUUUGCCCUUGGAAACUUCCAUGCCUACUCAGAUAUCCAAUCUUGAGAAAUCUCAGCCUUACUGAACAUAGGAGAAUAAUACAGCUAAGUCUGCACUGAAUAAGGCAAGGAAUCUCAGUCUUAGUCUGGAAAAUGGUCCCCAGUGAAAUCUUUGGAAUAUCAGCUUCAGCAGGUCUGCUCAAUAUGAUUAGUGUCAACAUGCGGCCUUUUUGUUUAAAGAAAGGAACAUUUCCCUCAUAGAAUUUUGUUAAAUUUCUCAUUCAACAAUUAUUGUAAUCAUGACCUCUAUUGUUCAUCAUUUCCACGAAAAUUUCUGCUUCUACAUCAACUUCUUUCUUAAGAUACAUAUUCCCAUUAGAUACAUAACAGCCAUUAAUCUUAAUGGAAGCUAUGCUCAGAAAUGGAGUGAGAAAGACACCCAGGAGGUUUUGUCACAUCUUUAAAUUCACUACCCCAAAAAAAAUUAUUUGAGCUAAAUUCUGAUAAUGAAUGCACAUUGCUGAAGAAUUAGAAUUUAAAAUAUAUUUACACAGUUACUGAAUUUAUCUUAAGAAGAGUUGAAACAACACUUCUACUGGAUUGUGUCGCAGAUUUCACGCUGUGUCCUAAGAAACGCUGCUUGUUUUGUGAUGCUGUAGGAAAAAGAGUAGGGUUAUAAAAAACAGACAGGUUGGGGCUUAUUUUCUUUGUUCCUCACAUGUGAACACAUCAGGUGGUUUUUGUUUCCCUGAAGUAUAUAUUUUUUUAUAAUAUACCCCCCUUUUUUUUACUUUGAU